AAUCGUUUAAUUUUAGUUGGUUUGCUUAUUAAUAUGGUCAGUUAUAUGGAUGGAUUUCCUAAUAUUGAACCAUCCUUGCAUUCCUGGUAUAAAUCCCACCUUCUCAUAAUGGAUAACCCUCAUGAUUACUUGCUGGAGUUUUUUUAACAAAUGCAGCAGUUUCCUAUGGGACAAACAACAUGCAGAAGAAGGAGGGAGAAUGAGCACCUAUGUCUGAGUGGAAAUACUGCUGUAAAGUGCACAGACCGAAAUAAAUCUGAUAUGUGAGAAGACUUUAUAACGAGACACUAAUGAGGGACUUGAGACCAAAAGAAAGACUGUCACCUGGAAAAUGUGAUCAUGAAGAACGUGCUAAUGAGCAUGCCAUGCAUCCAGACUUUCAUCUUAACUGCUACAAAACUCUGCCUGAACAGCCUCAUAAAAUUUAAAAAUAGAGAUUCAACUUCCAUCUAUAAAACAUGGAAAAAAAUAUUUGGCAUUCACUUCAGAGGACUGUUGUGAGAAAUGCGCUUUCUAAAUUUUAAUAUAUCAAAUAUGUUGUUAUCUUCCCUAAAAUAUCUAAUUUUGUUUCUACUCUGUGUGAGGCACAUAAAUAAAUGUAUAUUUAAAUCUUUUAAAUUUCCUCUU
RNAcentral lists this long non-coding RNA (627 nucleotides) under Monodelphis domestica (gray short-tailed opossum). RNAcentral's name for it is "lncRNA (ENSMODG00000036900.1)". The record is from RNAcentral. Lineage: Eukaryota; Metazoa; Chordata; Mammalia; Didelphimorphia; Didelphidae.